RNAcentral lists this ribosomal RNA (272 nucleotides) under Yersinia pestis. RNAcentral describes it as "partial 16S ribosomal RNA". It matches the Rfam family "Bacterial small subunit ribosomal RNA", at positions 147 to 421 of the family's 1533-position model. The record is from RNAcentral. Lineage: Bacteria; Pseudomonadati; Pseudomonadota; Gammaproteobacteria; Enterobacterales; Yersiniaceae.
CUACUGGAAACGGUAGCUAAUACCGCAUGACCUCGCAAGAGCAAAGUGGGGGACCUUAGGGCCUCACGCCAUCGGAUGAACCCAGAUGGGAUUAGCUAGUAGGUGGGGUAAUGGCUCACCUAGGCGACGAUCCCUAGCUGGUCUGAGAGGAUGACCAGCCACACUGGAACUGAGACACGGUCCAGACUCCUACGGGAGGCAGCAGUGGGGAAUAUUGCACAAUGGGCGCAAGCCUGAUGCAGCCAUGCCGCGUGUGUGAAGAAGGCCUCGGG